RNAcentral lists this ribosomal RNA (708 nucleotides) under uncultured bacterium. RNAcentral describes it as "bacterial SSU rRNA". It matches the Rfam family "Bacterial small subunit ribosomal RNA", at positions 127 to 851 of the family's 1533-position model. The record is from RNAcentral.
UGCCUCAAAGAGGGGGACAACAGUUGGAAACGACUGCUAAUACCGCAUAAGCCCACAGGUCGGCAUCGACCAGAGGGAAAAGGAGCAAUCCGCUUUGAGAUGGCCUCGCGUCCGAUUAGCUAGUUGGUGAGGUAACGGCCCACCAAGGCGACGAUCGGUAGCCGGACUGAGAGGUUGAACGGCCACAUUGGGACUGAGACACGGCCCAGACUCCUACGGGAGGCAGCAGUGGGGAAUAUUGCACAAUGGGGGAAACCCUGAUGCAGCGACGCCGCGUGGAGGAAGAAGGUCUUCGGAUUGUAAACUCCUGUUGUUGAGGAAGAUAAUGACGGUACUCAACAAGGAAGUGACGGCUAACUACGUGCCAGCAGCCGCGGUAAAACGUAGGUCACAAGCGUUGUCCGGAAUUACUGGGUGUAAAGGGAGCGCAGGCGGGAAGACAAGUUGGAAGUGAAAUCUAUGGGCUCAACCCAUAAACUGCUUUCAAAACUGUUUUUCUUGAGUAGUGCAGAGGUAGGCGGAAUUCCCGGUGUAGCGGUGGAAUGCGUAGAUAUCGGGAGGAACACCAGUGGCGAAGGCGGCCUACUGGGCACCAACUGACGCUGAGGCUCGAAAGUGUGGGUAGCAAACAGGAUUAGAUACCCUGGUAGUCCACACCGUAAACGAUGAUUACUAGGUGUUGGAGGAUUGACCCCUUCAGUGCCGCAG